RNAcentral lists this transfer RNA (69 nucleotides) under Sepiadarium kochi. RNAcentral's name for it is "tRNA-Gln". The record is from RNAcentral. Lineage: Eukaryota; Metazoa; Mollusca; Cephalopoda; Sepiida; Sepiadariidae.
UACAUAAUGGUGUAAGCGCACGUAAAUUUUUGGAUUUUAAGGGGAAAGAUCAAGUUCUUUCUUUUGUGG